This 420-nucleotide ribosomal RNA is filed under the name uncultured bacterium. RNAcentral's name for it is "bacterial SSU rRNA". It matches the Rfam family "Bacterial small subunit ribosomal RNA", at positions 362 to 773 of the family's 1533-position model. The record is from RNAcentral.
UAUUGGACAAUGGGCGGAAGCCUGAUCCAGCAACGCCGCGUGGAGGACGAAGGUCUUCGGAUCGUAAACUCCUGUCAGGCGGGACGAAGGCUGCGGGGUAAAUAAUACCGUAGCUUGACGGUACUGCCAGAGGAAGCCCCGGCUAGCUCCGUGCCAGCAGCCGCGGUGACACGUAGGCACCAAGCGUUGUCCGGAUUUAUUGGGCGUAAAGAGCUCGUAGGCGGUUCGGUAAGUCGGAUGUGAAAACUUUGGGCUCAACCCAAAGCGUGCACUCGAUACUGCUGUGACUAGAGUUCGGUAGGGGAGUGGGGAAUUCCUAGUGUAGCGGUGAAAUGCGCAGAUAUUAGGAGGAACACCGGUGGCGAAGGCGCCACUCUGGGCCGAAACUGACGCUGAGGAGCGAAAGCGUGGGUAGCAAAC